GUUUAUGUAGCUUAAUUAAAGUAUGGCACUGAAAAUGCCAAGAUAGAUUUUAAAAAAAUCUCAGAAACA
This 69-nucleotide transfer RNA is filed under the name Pseudohynobius puxiongensis (Puxiong's protohynobiid). RNAcentral describes it as "tRNA-Phe". It matches the Rfam family "tRNA". From Rfam's summary of the family: Transfer RNA (tRNA) molecules are approximately 80 nucleotides in length. Their secondary structure includes four short double-helical elements and three loops (D, anti-codon, and T loops). Further hydrogen bonds mediate the characteristic L-shaped molecular structure. tRNAs have two regions of fundamental functional importance: the anti-codon, which is responsible for specific mRNA codon recognition, and the 3' end, to which the tRNAs corresponding amino acid is attached (by aminoacyl-tRNA synthetases). tRNAs cope with the degeneracy of the genetic code in two manners: having more than one tRNA (with a specific anti-codon) for a particular amino acid; and 'wobble' base-pairing, i.e. permitting non-standard base-pairing at the 3rd anti-codon position. The record is from RNAcentral. Lineage: Eukaryota; Metazoa; Chordata; Amphibia; Caudata; Hynobiidae.